GAUGAACGCUAGCGAUAGGCUUAACACAUGCAAGUCGAGGGGCAGCACAAGGUAGCUUGCUAUCUGGGUGGCGACCGGCGCACGGGUGCGUAACGCGUAUGCAACUUGCCCUAUACAGGAGGAUAACCCGUCGAAAGACGGACUAAUACUGCGUAUGCUCACAACUUGGCAUCAAGUGGUGAGGAAAGAAAUUCGGUAUAGGAUAGGCAUGCGUCCCAUUAGCUUGUUGGUGAGGUAACGGCUCACCAAGGCAACGAUGGGUAGGGGAACUGAGAGGUUUAUCCCCCACACUGGUACUGAGACACGGACCAGACUCCUACGGGAGGCAGCAGUGAGGAAGAUUGGUCAAUGGGCGCGAGCCUGAACCAGCCAAGUCGCGUGAAGGAUGACUGUCUUAUGGAUUGUAAACUUCUUUUAUACGGGAAUAACAAGAGUCACGGGUGACUCCCUGCAUGUACCGUAUGAAUAAGCAUCGGCUAACUCCGUG
RNAcentral lists this ribosomal RNA (487 nucleotides) under uncultured bacterium. RNAcentral's name for it is "partial 16S ribosomal RNA". It matches the Rfam family "Bacterial small subunit ribosomal RNA", at positions 28 to 507 of the family's 1533-position model. The record is from RNAcentral.